AGUGAACGCUGGCGGUAGGCCUAACACAUGCAAGUCGAACGGCAGCACAGUAAGAGCUUGCUCUUACGGGUGGCGAGUGGCGGACGGGUGAGGAAUACAUCGGAAUCUACUUUUUCGUGGGGGAUAACGUAGGGAAACUUACGCGAAUACCGCAUACGACCUACGGGUGAAAGCAUGGGAUCUUCGGACCUUGCGCGAUUGAAUGAGCCGAUGUCGGAUUAGCUAGUUGGCGGGGUAAAGGCCCACCAAGGCGACGAUCCGUAACUGGUCUGAGAGGAUGAUCAGCCAGACUGGAACUGAGACACGGUCCAGACUCCUACGCGAGGCAGCAGUGGGGAAUAUUGGACAAUGGGCGCAAGCCUGAUCCAGCCAUACCGCGUGGGUGAAGAAGGCCUUCGGGUUGCAAAGCCCUUUUGUUGGGAAAGAAAAGCAGCAGGUUAAUACCCCGCUGUUCUGACGGUACCCAAAGAAUAAGCACCGGCUAACUUCGUG
RNAcentral lists this ribosomal RNA (492 nucleotides) under uncultured bacterium. RNAcentral describes it as "partial 16S ribosomal RNA". It matches the Rfam family "Bacterial small subunit ribosomal RNA", at positions 29 to 507 of the family's 1533-position model. The record is from RNAcentral.